Molecule: non-coding RNA, 2514 nt
Organism: Nicotiana tabacum (common tobacco)
Lineage: Eukaryota; Viridiplantae; Streptophyta; Magnoliopsida; Solanales; Solanaceae
Source: RefSeq, a predicted model, not a curated record
CCAUGGCCAAUGCCACAUAACUGUUGGCAGUAGCUUUAUGCUUCAUACCCACCAGUCAAACUAUCAUCCACACGGGACCACACCACUGAACCAAGACUCCAUAUUUACCAAGAAGAUUAGGAGAAGACUAUUGUCAAAUGCUCUUUAGCUUAGUCUUAAAUAGACUUUCUGCAGAACUGAAUCCCCCGCCCCCCGUAUCCCCAUGUUAUUUAUCCAUGUGUUAGAACAUAUUUAAUUAAUUAAUAGAAUAUUGGGAUAAAUGUUUACUUAUAACUGUUUUUGAAUAAAAAAAAUACAAGUGGGGUUUUCUUAGUUUCUGGUUCAAGAAUUGACCAGUGAAGGCAUUCUUGGUAAAUCCCAAAUCAACAAACCAAAUGAUUCUGUUUAUGUUGAGCUCUCAUUUUCUCUGAAGUUGAUUGGUUUCUUGAUUUUUGUUGUUUGGACUUCACUUUAAGCAACCCCCAUUUUCUGUAAUUCUUCUUUUAAUUUCUUUUUCUUAAAUAUCUCUUCUUUGUAACUGUAAUGGGCUUUAUUUCUUCAUCUGGGUUGUUCAAGAAUUGCUUAAAGGAGAAGACUUUGAAUUGAUCUUAAAAUGGGUGUGGCUAAAAAUUUGAUCUUUUUGAGGAAAAAUGAUGGGGUUUUGCUUAGAGUUUUAUUCAGUUUAUGGUUCAUCUUUGGUGGGUUUUGUCCAGUAAUGUGCCUCAGGCCUCUCAGGGAAAGAUAUCGAUCGUGGGGCGAUGAGUGGCUUCUUGUGAGAAAGGAUGAAAAUGAAUUGGGGCCAUUUUCUGCUUGGAAUAUAACAGGAACUUAUAGAGGGUCUUGGAGAUUCCUAGAUUCAACAAAUGGCUCUUCCAGGUUUCCUGAUUUUAGGAAGUCCAAUGGCAACUCGGUCCUUGAGUUGAUAAGUAAUCCAACAAAAAUAACUGGUGUACAUUAUGUUCAGGGUGCAAUAAUUUUCCAUGAUGUUUUUGACAAUGAACAUGGAGUUGAUGGUGCACAAAUCAGAGUAGAAGGUGUAUAUAUAUGGCCAUUCAGACAACUUCGAAUGGUAGCUUACAGUGGCAAAGAUGGUGAGUUUGGGCAGGAAGAUGAUUAUCUAUUGUCAAAUCCGUAUCACUUGCUUGGAGUUUUCUCAUCCCAGAUCUUCCAGGAGUCUUCUCGAGAUAAGAUUUGGAAAAAGAAACACUCACCGUUUUAUGAGAUGGAGAAACAGUGUAAUAUUGAAAUUGCUGCACAAAUUGCUCGUGUCUCAUCCUCCACAAAUGGGAGCUGCCAAAGUUUCAAUUCUGAUGAUUGGACAACAGGCUAUCAUGGAUGCUUAUCUUUGUCUUUUGCAUCUGACCGCAGGAAUACUUGUUGAAUCCCUUUUCAAUGCUUUUGCAACUGCUGCAUUCUUCAAGUUUGUUGUCUUCUCGAUAUUUGAGAUGAGAUAUCUUCUUGCUAUAUGGAAAGCAAAUAGGCCAAUGAAUAGUGGAGAGGGUUGGGAAGCAAUGAGGCGUGAACUCUCAGUACUUUACAGCCGUUUCUAUGGGAUCCUUUUAGGUGGUAUAUUGGUCAUGUACGAGUUUCACAAGCUUCUACGCCCUAUUCUUCUCCUUUUACACUCUUUUUGGAUACCUCAAAUUGUAACUAAUGUCAUUCGUGACUCGAGAAAAUCAUUGCACCCUCAUUACAUCUUGGGAAUGAGUAUAACUCGUCUGGCAAUCCCAUUAUAUGUCUUUGGCUGUCCUCACAAUUUCAUGCGUAUAGAGCCUGACAAGAAUUGGUGCAUUUGCUUGGGAGUUUUUAUGUCGUUGCAGGCGGCAAUUCUUCUUCUGCAGCACUAUCUUGGAUCUCGUUGGUUCAUUCCACGUCAGAUUUUACCCGAGAAGUAUAAUUAUAACAGAAGGUUUGAUCAGGGUGCCAAUAGUGCCGCUGAUUGUGUUAUUUGUAUGGCUGCUAUUGAUCUUUCUCAACGUUUAAAUAAUUGCAUGGUGACACCUUGUGAUCAUUUCUUUCAUUCCGGUUGUUUGCAAAGAUGGAUGGACAUAAAGAUGGAGUGUCCAACAUGUCGACGUCCUCUUCCACCAGCCUGAAUAGAUAUUAUUUCUUGAAUUCACAUUGAUAUAGAGCAACUGACAUUGCUCAACCUGUUUAAAAAGGUUGACAGACUGAGAGCAUACUUAAGAAGUCUUCACUAAGUUAUUGAAAAAUUAACACAGAUUCACCAGACUGCUGCGCAGAUGGCCUGUAAUGUACAUUAGUAAUGUAAUAUCUUGUUUAAGUGAUAACUGCCUAUUCUUUUCUUGUAUUACACCACACAAACAGACUUCUUUAGAAAUACAUUUACUUGAAUCUAGAGCAAAUUAUGUGGGAAAAUGUGUAGUUAUUUCCAAGUUGUGAAUUCUAGACUGAAAGUUGAUAUCUUUGGCUGGGGAGGCCUAAGAUCAGGGUCCUAUCUUCAGAUGUAAAUUACAGGUACAUAGCAUAUAUGUUUGGUUUUCAAGGACAAGUGAUGUGUAUAUUAAUGUCGAA